RNAcentral lists this ribosomal RNA (319 nucleotides) under uncultured eukaryote. RNAcentral describes it as "partial 18S ribosomal RNA". It matches the Rfam family "Eukaryotic small subunit ribosomal RNA", at positions 1470 to 1796 of the family's 1831-position model. The record is from RNAcentral.
CCCUUAGAUGUUCUGGGCUGCACGCGUGCUACAAUGGCGUUUCCAGCAAGUCUGCGAACCCGAGAGGGCCAGCGGAUCUUCGAAUUGGCGUCGUGAUCGGGACAGUCGAUUGCAAUUAUUUGACUCAAACGAGGAAUUCCUUGUAAUCGCGAUUCAUCAUAUCGCGCUGAAUACGUCCCUGCCCUUUGUACACACCGCCCGUCGCUCCUACCGAUUGAGCGAUCCGGUAAAUGUUUUGGAUUGGUGCCGGGGCGGCUAGCUGCCGGUCGCUACGAAAUUUUGUGAACCUUAUCGCUUAGAGGAAGUAAAAGUCGUAACA